RNAcentral lists this transfer RNA (73 nucleotides) under Stegodyphus mimosarum. It matches the Rfam family "tRNA". From Rfam's summary of the family: Transfer RNA (tRNA) molecules are approximately 80 nucleotides in length. Their secondary structure includes four short double-helical elements and three loops (D, anti-codon, and T loops). Lineage: Eukaryota; Metazoa; Arthropoda; Arachnida; Araneae; Eresidae. The record is from Rfam by way of RNAcentral.
GCCUUCGUGGUGUAAUGGUCAGCACACUGAGCCGGUACUUCAGAGGUCGGUGGUUCGAUUCCCGGCGAAGGCG